Molecule: ribosomal RNA, 484 nt
Filed under: uncultured bacterium
Lineage: Bacteria
Description: bacterial SSU rRNA
Rfam family: Bacterial small subunit ribosomal RNA
Source: RNAcentral
CUACGUGCCAGCAGCCGCGGUAAUACGUAGGGGGCAAGCGUUAUCCGGAUUUACUGGGUGUAAAGGGAGCGCAGGCGGUUUUGCAAGUUGAGAGUGGAAGCAGGGGGCUCAACCCCCUGACUGCUCCCAAAACUGUAGGACUUGAGUAUGGGAGAGGCAGGCGGAAUUCCUAGUGUAGCGGUGAAAUGCUUAGAUAUUAGGAAGAACACCGGUGGCGAAGGCGGCCUGCUGGACCAAAACUGACGCUGAGGCUCGAAAGCGUGGGUAGCAAACAGGAUUAGAUACCCUGGUAGUCCACGCCGUAAACGUUGGGCACUAGGUGUGGGGGACAUUCCACGUUUUCCGCGCCGUAGCUAACGCAUUAAGUGCCCCGCCUGGGGAGUACGGCCGCAAGGCUAAAACUCAAAGAAAUUGACGGGGGCCCGCACAAGCGGCGGAGCAUGCGGAUUAAUUCGAUGCAACGCGAAGAACCUUACCAAGGCUU